This 207-nucleotide ribosomal RNA is filed under the name uncultured bacterium. RNAcentral's name for it is "partial 16S ribosomal RNA". It matches the Rfam family "Bacterial small subunit ribosomal RNA", at positions 568 to 774 of the family's 1533-position model. The record is from RNAcentral.
AGUGUAGGCGGAAUUAUAAGUUAGAAGUUUAAUUUACGGGCUCAACCCGUGAACUGCUUUUAAUACUGUAGUUCUAGAGUAUGGGAGAGGGUGAUGGAAUUCCAGGUGUAGCGGUGGAAUGCGUAGAUAUCUGGAAGAACACCAGUUGCGAAGGCGGCCGCCUGGCCCAAUACUGACGCUGAGGCUCGAAAGCUAGGGGAGCGAACA